This 594-nucleotide ribosomal RNA is filed under the name Burkholderia gladioli. Its description in RNAcentral is "bacterial SSU rRNA". It matches the Rfam family "Bacterial small subunit ribosomal RNA", at positions 59 to 651 of the family's 1533-position model. The record is from RNAcentral. Lineage: Bacteria; Pseudomonadati; Pseudomonadota; Betaproteobacteria; Burkholderiales; Burkholderiaceae.
UGGUUUGCCUUUUGCCACCCUGGUGGCGAGUGGCGAACGGGUGAGUAAUACAUCGGAACAUCCUCCCUGUAGUGGGGGAUAGCCCGGCGAAAGCCGGAUUAAUACCGCAUACGAUCUACGGAUGAAAGCGGGGGACCUUCGGGCCUCGCGCUAUAGGGUUGGCCGAUGGCUGAUUAGCUAGUUGGUGGGGUAAAGGCCCACCAAGGCGACGAUCAGUAGCUGGUCUGAGAGGACGACCAGCCACACUGGGACUGAGACACGGCCCAGACUCCUACGGGAGGCAGCAGUGGGGAAUUUUGGACAAUGGGCGAAAGCCUGAUCCAGCAAUGCCGCGUGUGUGAAGAAGGCCUUCGGGUUGUAAAGCACUUUUGUCCGGAAAGAAAUCCUGAGGGCUAAUAUCCUUCGGGGAUGACGGUACCGGAAGAAUAAGCACCGGCUAACUACGUGCCAGCAGCCGCGGUAAUACGUAGGGUGCGAGCGUUAAUCGGAAUUACUGGGCGUAAAGCGUGCGCAGGCGGUUUGUUAACACCGAUGUGAAAUUCCCCGGGCUCAACCUUGGUCAACUGCAUUGGUGACUGGCAAGAUACACUUUGG